UACAGAGGGGGCAAGCGUUAUUCGGAAUUAUUGGGCGUAAAGGGCGCGUAGGCGGCGAUUCAAGUGACGGGUGAAAUCCCUCGGCUUAACCGAGGAACUGCCUGUCAGACUGGAUUGCUUGAGGCCGGGAGAGGUGAGUGGAAUUCCCAGUGUAGCGGUGAAAUGCGUAGAUAUUGGGAGGAACACCAGUGGCGAAGGCGGCUCACUGGACCGGUACUGACGCUGAUGCGCGAAAGCGUGGGGAGCAAACAGG
RNAcentral lists this ribosomal RNA (253 nucleotides) under uncultured bacterium. RNAcentral's name for it is "partial 16S ribosomal RNA". It matches the Rfam family "Bacterial small subunit ribosomal RNA", at positions 524 to 776 of the family's 1533-position model. The record is from RNAcentral.